RNAcentral lists this ribosomal RNA (484 nucleotides) under uncultured bacterium. RNAcentral describes it as "partial 16S ribosomal RNA". It matches the Rfam family "Bacterial small subunit ribosomal RNA", at positions 28 to 523 of the family's 1533-position model. The record is from RNAcentral.
GAUGAACGCUGGCGGCGUGCUUAACACAUGCAAGUCGAACGGUGAAGCAGGAGCUUGCUCUUGUGGAUCAGUGGCGAACGGGUGAGUAACACGUGAGCAACCUGCCCCUGACUCUGGGAUAAGCGCUGGAAACGGCGUCUAAUACUGGAUAUGUGAUGUGACCGCAUGGUCUGCAUCUGGAAAGAAUUUCGGUUGGGGAUGGGCUCGCGGCCUAUCAGCUUGUUGGUGAGGUAAUGGCUCACCAAGGCGUCGACGGGUAGCCGGCCUGAGAGGGUGACCGGCCACACGGGGACUCAGACACGGCCCAGACGCCUACGGGAGGCAGCAGUGGGGAAUAUUGCACAAUGGGCGGAAGCCUGAUGCAGCAACGCCGCGUGAGGGAUGACGGCCUUCGGGUUGUAAACCUCUUUUAGCAGGGAAGAAGCGAAAGUGACGGUACCUGCAGAAAAAGCACCGGCUAACUACGUGCCAGCCGCCGCUGUAA